RNAcentral lists this ribosomal RNA (661 nucleotides) under Pantoea ananatis. Its description in RNAcentral is "partial 16S ribosomal RNA". It matches the Rfam family "Bacterial small subunit ribosomal RNA", at positions 73 to 737 of the family's 1533-position model. The record is from RNAcentral. Lineage: Bacteria; Pseudomonadati; Pseudomonadota; Gammaproteobacteria; Enterobacterales; Erwiniaceae.
UGUCCCUCGUGAGACGAGUGGGAGAGGGGAGUGUAGUGUGGGGGGAUCUGCCAGAUAGGGGGGGAUAACCUGUGGAAAGGGGGGCUAAUACCGCAUAACCUCACGAGACCAAAGGGGGGGACCUUGGGGCCUCUCUCUAUCAGAUGAACCCAUGGGGGAUUAUCUAGUGCGGGGGGUAACGGCCCCCCUGGGACAAUAUCCCUAUGGGGUCAGAGAAGAAGACCACCCACUGUGGCUGUGACACACGGCCCACACUCCUACGGGGGGCAGCUGUGGGGAAUAGUGCACAGUGGGCGCACGCGUGAUGCACCCGUGCCGCGUGUAUGAAAAGGGUCUUCGGUGUGUAAAGUACUUUCCGCGGAGAAGAGGGAUAUGUGUUUUAUAACCGCUUAGAGUGAUUUUACCCGCAAAAAAAACCCCGGAUAUCUCCGUGCCCACCCCCGCGGUAAUACAGAGGGCGCGCGCGUUUCUCAAAUUUAGUGGGUGUAAAGCACACGCGGGCGGUGUGUUAACUGAGAUGUGAUCUCCCGGGUCUUCAUGUGGAAACUGCUUUUGAAACUGGCGGGUUUGUCUCUCGUAGAGGGGGGUAGAUUUACGUGUGUAGCUGAGAUGUGCGUAGAUCUCUGGAAGAAUAGGUGUGGCAAGCGCCGCCCUGUGCAAA